RNAcentral lists this transfer RNA (92 nucleotides) under Pseudomonas sp. 5Ae-yellow. Its description in RNAcentral is "tRNA-Gly". It matches the Rfam family "tRNA". Rfam says of the family: Transfer RNA (tRNA) molecules are approximately 80 nucleotides in length. Their secondary structure includes four short double-helical elements and three loops (D, anti-codon, and T loops). Further hydrogen bonds mediate the characteristic L-shaped molecular structure. tRNAs have two regions of fundamental functional importance: the anti-codon, which is responsible for specific mRNA codon recognition, and the 3' end, to which the tRNAs corresponding amino acid is attached (by aminoacyl-tRNA synthetases). tRNAs cope with the degeneracy of the genetic code in two manners: having more than one tRNA (with a specific anti-codon) for a particular amino acid; and 'wobble' base-pairing, i.e. permitting non-standard base-pairing at the 3rd anti-codon position. The record is from RNAcentral. Lineage: Bacteria; Pseudomonadati; Pseudomonadota; Gammaproteobacteria; Pseudomonadales; Pseudomonadaceae.
GCGCAGGAAUAGCUCAGUUGGCAGAGCACGACCUUGCCGAGGUCGGGGGCGGGCGGCGAGCCUCGCGAGUUCGAGUCUCGUUUCCCGCUCCA